RNAcentral lists this long non-coding RNA (361 nucleotides) under Bos taurus (domestic cattle). RNAcentral's name for it is "long non-coding RNA NONBTAT024879". The record is from RNAcentral. Lineage: Eukaryota; Metazoa; Chordata; Mammalia; Artiodactyla; Bovidae.
CAAGAUCAACAAAUAAUUUAUUUAUGUUUACAUAAUCAUAUAUGGUUAAUUAGGUGCAAAAUUAUCUGGUAAUUACUUCCCCAAAUAACUCUUUUUAUCCCAUCGCAUUUGAACUUCUGAGUUUGAACACGUAGCAUGCAUAUAUAUACAUAUAUACAUUAGCAAAUUUAAAUAUAACAUUGAUGACAUUCUACUUAAGAGCAAAAGUUAUGGUAUCAGAAAUAACAUUCAAAAAUGAGUAAUUAAAGGUACGAUUGCAAGUAAGAUUUUUUUUAAGUGCUCUUGGAGAGCCCUAGGUUAUUAAUAAAGAAGCAGAGUUCUGAAGAGUAUUUUUAAAUAAGUAUACACAUCAACUGAGAAU